RNAcentral lists this unclassified non-coding RNA (253 nucleotides) under uncultured Bacteroidales bacterium. RNAcentral's name for it is "contains 16S-23S intergenic spacer region". It matches the Rfam family "Bacterial small subunit ribosomal RNA", at positions 524 to 776 of the family's 1533-position model. The record is from RNAcentral. Lineage: Bacteria; Pseudomonadati; Bacteroidota; Bacteroidia; Bacteroidales.
UACGGAGGAUGCGAGCGUUAUCCGGAUUUAUUGGGUUUAAAGGGUGCGUAGGCGGAAAAAUAAGUCAGUGGUGAAAGUCUGGCGCUUAACGUUAGGAUUGCCAUUGAUACUGUUAGACUUGAAUAUGGAUGAGGUAGGCGGAAUGUGUAGUGUAGCGGUGAAAUGCUUAGAUAUGACACAGAACACCGAUAGUGAAGACAGCUCACUAAGCUGUAACUGACGCUCAUGCACGAAAGCGUGGGGAUCAAACAGG